RNAcentral lists this long non-coding RNA (3010 nucleotides) under Salmo trutta (river trout). Its description in RNAcentral is "lncRNA (ENSSTUG00000040450.1)". The record is from RNAcentral. Lineage: Eukaryota; Metazoa; Chordata; Actinopteri; Salmoniformes; Salmonidae.
UCCAAACAUGUUUAUUACAAAGACGUUUAAUUGUCCUUAAUGCUCUCUUUCACUCUCAAAUGAUGUAGCUGUCUACCCCGCCAUGCUUUUUGGAUCAAAGGCUCAAGUUAGAAAGGGAGACACUAUAGAUUUGAAGUGUAAUAUCUCUGGCAUCAUAAGAUUCUGGGACAAGGUUCAUGUGUACAUUUACAAGAAUGGAGUUGAGAUGGCAAUGAAGGUUUUGGAGAAAGGUGAAGAUGACGCUAUUUUCACCAUGAAGGAUGUUACAAGAGAAGACUCAGGCAACUACAGCUGUGUGUACACCAGAGAUAAACUUUUACUGGAUCAAGUGAAGUCAGCAGGCAAGAAUUUAGUAGCCAUCUGUGUCUACGAAGAGGCUGCACAUGAUGUAAUACUGGUCAAUGUAAUCCGACUGAUAAGUUCAGCUGUUGUGGUCAUACUUCUGCUGACUGUAGUGGCUGUUAGUUCAUGCUGUUCAAAAAGAGGAGCUUUACAAUGUUAUUGUGGAAGAACACCACAACAGGAGGAGAACGAUGUGCCAAUGACAGGGGAGGGUGACGACGGAACUUCAAACAUGGAGGAAGAAUCCAGUGAUGAAUUUGCUUAUGAAAGUGUUGCAGGUAAGACCAAAAACAAAUGUGGGAUAAUGUUUAGCUGUAAGUGUAUUUUAAAAUACUGACCAUGCUGAUACUAAGUAAAUGGUCAUUAAAUUAGUUUGUUAAAAGUUUAGUUUUUUCCAUUUGAUGUGAGGUUGGACUUAAGCAUGUAUAGCUUGUUAGCAUGUAGGGCCCACCGAUUGCUGCCACCUCGUUAUUUAGUUUGGGCUCCCGAGUGUCACAGCAGUCUACGGCACUGCAUCUCAGUGCUAGAGGCGUCACUACAGACCCUGGUUUGAUUCCAGGCUGUAUCACAACUGGCUGUGAUUGGGAGUCCCAUAGGGCAGCGCACAAUUGGCCCAGCGUCAUCUGGGUUAGGGUUUGCCGACAUUGUAAAUAAGAAUUUGUUCUUAACUGACCUGCCUAUUUAAAUAAAGGUUAAAUAAAAAAAUUAAAAAGUAUGUGUUACACCUGUGCUGGUUGCCAUCUCGUUCGUGGGAAGGUGUUUCACCUGGUGCUAUUUAAGAGUGGCUGACCCAGUGCUCUAGUUGUCUUGAGAGAUGUGAAGGGUUAGCACCUUUAGUUGGCUCUCCCUAGUUUGAUUUCUAGACAAACCAUCCUUUAUCCCUGUUUUUGUUUCACUCCACUUUUUGGUUUUCUCCCUGUUUGGUGUGGGUUUUUCUUUUGUUUGCCUCUUCUUGGGCAAAUUUAGUGGGCAUUCAUGGUGGCUGUCUUUUAGAUUCCCAUUGUUGCUAGUCAACUUUCAGUGGACACACCCGUGUGUCUUUCAGAACCCCUCUUAAAACCCCACCUGUUUCAUUUACAUUGUUGGUCAGGGACAUUUUAGAUUUUCUUGCUAGGGAAUGUAACAAGUUUCAUUGCCUUGCUUUAAAACAGUCUACAUUUGUUAUUGUGAUCAUUUUCAUCUUAUCCACCAAACAGGUGGGGGGGUGUACCAGAAUGUGUAUGAGAACUGCUUAGAUAAUAUGACUCAUAAAAAUGUACUCAUUACGAUGUUAAUAAUAAUAAUGUUUUUUUUCAUUCUUACAUUUGCAAUACUGGGUAAAUUAAAAACUUGUUUGGGAGAUGUUUUAUUUAAGGUUUUUAGCACCUUGAAUAAAACAAGUUUUUCUGUUGUUUUUUUUAUUCGUUUUUUUAUGAUUUAGAUAUUUCAUCUUCUAAUCACCCAAACAGGCGAUACAACAUUUGGAUGAGAAAUGCUAAGAUAAUACAAUUAUGAUAAUAAUGAUGCUGUAUAUUUUAAAACAUUUUUUUUUUUAAAGUUAUUCUGACAUUUCUGAUACUGGGUAAAUGGAUAUGACUAAACUAAUAUGCAACGCCUUGAGUGAAUAUUGUCUAAAUUAAUGGUUUUAACAUCUAAUCUUCAAAACAGGUGAUGAGAUUGAGAUGUAAAACAACUUGGGUGAGAAAUGCUAACAAAUGCAUUGAUUAUAUUGUGAAAUUUAAAAGGCUGGGUAAAUGGUUAUAUAACAGAUUUUAGGCCCUUGGGUGAAAAACUUUUGCAAAAAUUGUUUUAAUUAAAUAUAUUUAACUUCCAUCUUAUCUCCAAAACAGACGAUGCCAUAUACCAAGAAAUUACGGUGAGCUGUGAGUUCCAAAUGAACUUUGACUAAUGAUAACUAAUGAUUAUAAUGACUCUUAGUUAUAAUUCAAAAUUCAAUGUAUUCCUCUUCUAUUUUUACAUUUACAUUUUAUUGAGGUGAGUUCAAAAUGUUGAAAUAGUAACAAUAUAUACUGUACUCUCCACCGUAAAGUUAGGUGUACUUUUGGAUUUCCAUACAUGGUAGGCAGAACGAGUCAGGUUUUGUCACUGACCUUGAAAAAUAUCUUGACUCACUUUCUCUGUCAAUGGUGUCAUUCCUGACAUAAGUAGCAGUUGGCACAGGAAACCAAAGAUUUUUUUGUUGGUACUUCACAUAAAGAGAACCAAGAUGAUCUGGGUGUGUUUCCUCUGGGCAGAGAAUAGACUUGUGUUUCCUUUGAAUGUCCUCAGAGCUGUGGUGUAUAAUGUGGUGAACACUCUUCAAUUUAGCAUUGCUUCUGUAAUAAACCUAUUUAAUCAUUGUCUUAAUGUCAUUGUCCUACCUUAUCUUGGAUCCUACAAUAUCCUGAAAAUUGAGAAAUGUCUAAUACAAGAUAAAAAAAAUUAAAGUCUCUCUGAACACACAGCUGUCAUCUAAUGUGAUGAAGGAUAUACUGGAUCUGAUACAAUAUGUUGGGGUCUUUUCAUCCACAGAUGCAGCAAAUCAAGGCCCAGAUGCAGAAGUUGUGUAUGCCAAAUCACGCAAAAAGACAGGACGUCAUCAGUACAUGUCUUAAUCAUGAGUGGAAGUCAUUUAAUUUUAAAGCACCACAUUAAGUAUUAUUGCUGUAUAUACGGUUGCAUUCUCCCU